UUUAAAGUCUAAUCUGCCCUAUGAGGAGUUAAAUGGCCGCAGUAUUUUGACUGUGCGAAGGUAGCAUAAUAAUUAGUUUUUUAAUUGAAAGCUGGAAUGAAUGAUUGGACGAGAAAAAAUCUGUCUCAAUUUUAUUUAAUUAGAAUUUUAUUUUUAAGGAAAAAAGCUUAAAUAUUUUUAAAAGACGAGAAGACCCUAUAGAGUUUUAUACAUUUAUUUUUAUUUAUUUUUUGGUAUUAUAGGAUUUAUAUAAAAAAAUAGUAUUUAGUUGGGGUGAUUAAAAAAUUAAUUAAACUUUUUUUUUAUAAUGACAUUAAUAUAUGAUUAAUUGAUCCAUUUUUUAUGAUUAUAAGAUUAAAUUACCUUAGGGAUAACAGCGUUAUUUUUUUUUAGAGUUCUUAUCGAAAAAAAA
This 412-nucleotide ribosomal RNA is filed under the name Pleophylla sp. DA1676. Its description in RNAcentral is "partial 16S large subunit ribosomal RNA". Lineage: Eukaryota; Metazoa; Arthropoda; Insecta; Coleoptera; Scarabaeidae. The record is from RNAcentral.